AUGCCUAUCCCAAAACCAAUGGUUGGAGUUAACCUGUCCAAUUAUAGCCCACCAUCAGUCAGAGUAACCAAAACUAUUCUUAAACAAGAUAUUGGACAACCUUUUUUCUACUAUGAAAAUUUGGCCCAAGCUCCCUAACGUGUAUGGACGACCAUAUAAAGAUUCCUAUAUGAAAUUCAACCCGAGUGUGUAUGGAUUCUAAGCAUUUGUGUGCAAUAG
This 219-nucleotide ribosomal RNA is filed under the name Triticum aestivum (bread wheat). Its description in RNAcentral is "partial small subunit ribosomal RNA". The record is from RNAcentral. Lineage: Eukaryota; Viridiplantae; Streptophyta; Magnoliopsida; Poales; Poaceae.